UACAGAGGGUGCGAGCGUUGUCCGGAAUCACUGGGCGUAAAGGGCGCGUAGGUGGUGGCUUAAGCGUGCGGUGAAAGCUCGGGGCUCAACUCCGAGUCGGCCGUGCGAACUGGGCUCACUGGAGCAUAGUAGAGGCAGGUGGAAUUCCGGGUGUAGCGGUGGAAUGCGUAGAUAUCGGGAGGAACACCAGUGGCGAAGGCGGUUGCCUGGAGCUUUGCUGACGCUGAGGCGCGAAAGCGUGGGGAGCGAUCCGG
This 254-nucleotide ribosomal RNA is filed under the name uncultured bacterium. Its description in RNAcentral is "partial 16S ribosomal RNA". It matches the Rfam family "Bacterial small subunit ribosomal RNA", at positions 524 to 776 of the family's 1533-position model. The record is from RNAcentral.